CUUCGACAUCACACAAAAAUAUGAUUUUUCCUUCUAUAUAUGUGGUUUGCUUUACAUGGUAGGAAUACUCUUCUUACUCAUCCAACCAUGUAUUCAAAUUAUAGAACAAUCCAGAAGAAAAUACAUAGAUGGUGCACAUGCUUAGUGUCAUGUGAUUUCAGGUCGGAUUUCAUUUGUGGUACUCAUGCCUACCUCGCUUGGUUGCUGUGAGGAGCCUGUGAGGAGCCUGUGACCGGGGGAAGAGCUUUGUAAAUGCCAUUGUCAUUACUUUUUUCGAGUAGCACUGCCUCUGCUUCCAGGCAUUGCUGGAGGGUAUUAAGGACUACAUGUUUAAAGAAGAUGGUGUUUACAGCUUAUUGAAUAAUAGGUACAAAUGCCCUCAUAAAAACUACUCUCUCUUCUCAUUCAUUGGGACUAGGAUUUUAGAUGCGAAGACAGGGGAUAAGAGCUUUUCAACUCAUCUAUUUCUUUGCAAGGUGUAACUGAAGCAUCUGUAUGUCUCCAGAAAGGGUGUGGAUAGGUGAGUCUCGAGCCCAAGAAUACGACUGGAUUCAGAAAUUAAUUAUAGGGAGUUAUUGAUCUACCAGUAGAAUACAAAGACAGGCUCCAAUACAGUUUAGUACAAUUAAAGAAUGAAUUCUACAGCGAGGAAGUACGAUUUAUAAAUCUUCCCAUAAGAGGCAGCAUUGGCCAUCAAUUCUAAUUCAGUUAUUCAGUAUUAAAAGACGGUUCGGUGAUGAGCUGAAUAAGGCCGAACCUCAACAAGCAGAUACGGUGAAUGAUUUCCUUAGCAGAAGCUGCAUUUGUGCACACAACCAUUGAAUCAAGGGCUAUGAUUCAGGCACUUUUAUUCAUAUCACUGGGCUGUCAGAUUAUGAGCAUGACCUGUGGCCUUGAACACUUUUUUUCUGAGUUUCUCCUGCCCAACAAAUAGAAUAGAGAACUAAUUGCUGAUUAACAUAUAAAAUCGGUGAUUUAAUCACUUGUUAAGCAUGCUGCUGAAUCCAAAACACCAGCCUGUCAAGUUGUGAGGGAGAUGAAUAGAACGCCCUUGGAUGACUGUGCACCUGACGCUGGAGUGGUGGUGACAAGUGGCCGUCCCCGGUGCCUCUCACUGAUCUGUAGAUCAUUCACUUGCCUGAGCUGGGCACAGUUUUAAAAAUAGUUCUCUGCAUUGAUUUCAUACACAAGAUGACUGUGUAUGAAUAAUGCCCUCCUUUAUCUGAGAUGUCUAUUUUUCUAAGCCAAACAUUUUUCAGACUGCAGAAUGUUUCUUCCGAGAAUCAUUUUGAAAUUUCUGGCUACCUUACUUGUUUACACAUACCUUAAAACUAUGGAAAUUCCUACUUCUGUGGCUGGGGUGUACCUCAUGGGCAGAGCGCUUGCCUAGUAAGUACAAGGCCUUGGGUUUGAUCCCCAGCACUGCAGAACAUAAAUAAAUAAAUUUCUACUCGCAAUUUUCUCAUCACACAAAAUCAGUCCUUUAAUAUCAUUGGCAGUGUCUUGGGUCAUAUUUUUUCUAAAAUGAAUACAUCUGAUUUUCAAUUAUCCUUGGUGAUUAGAAACAGGAAUGCUACUACAGUUUGGAAUCACCGAAUGCUACCCCAUGCCUAAUUAGCCAGCAGUUGUGUUGUGCUCUACCAACCCUCCAAGCUGUUAAGUGAUUAAAUGGACAAGUUUCCUUUGGUUUCAUCUCCGUUAUUUCCUACUACAAUGUCUAGCAGGAGGCUUAUGUACUGAAAGAACCACCAAAAUAACAGGGAUAACAAAAGGCAGCUAAUAGGAGAAGCAAAAGCAUGGCUGACCGACACACUUGAUAUCCCCUCUAGUGAUCUGAGAAUGGCAUGGGAAUUACCAUAGAUAACAAUUUGCACGCCAUCCUCCUUUGGCUUAGCACCACCACCCAUUUGUUAUUACAGCUUUGGCUGCUGUUACAGAAGCUCACCCUCUCUGUUUUGAUCUGGUAAUCAUAAAAGCUGAGGCAAUGCUAUAUAUGUACAUGUGUAUUUACCCUAAAAUUAGGAUAACUAGAUUGAAAAACAUGCUGUGUGUUUAAAACCACAUUACUUACAUUUUUCUGACAACACCAAACUAACAAGAGGCAGUGUUAAAUCUUCUGAAUGGUGCUAUAGCCCACGCGUCCAGAUGUUCACACUUCGAGUGGUGGACUCGAAGUUGUGACCUUUUUAAUCCAGUGACCCAGCUGUAAUUACUCCAAGUUAGACCUGCUCACAUUCGGUUUGCACACUCAUUGGUUAACUGACUGUAUUCAUGGAAGUGGUGACUCCUACCAAAGCAGCAGAUGUUCCCAUGUUACAAAACUGGAGAAAGACCUGCUUGCAAUAUUCAUGUUGAUAUCAGAAUAUUAAUCAAGAAUUACAGCAAAUCUCUCCUACUGAUGUUACUCUACACAGUUCUUUGAAGACACUAUGAAGGGUUAAUUGUAUAUUUAUUUCAUGUGCUUUAUAGUUUUCCCCUUACAUGCCCACGUGACUUUCAUUUACAUAUAACUAAAUAAAAUUUGUCCUCAUUAAAGAUGGUUGGUGAGUUUUCAUAUAAAAUCUCUGUUCUUUUGUUCUCAAUGGGAAUAUUCCUAAAAUGAAGCUGAGACUAAUUAUCUGUUUGGCUCUUUCACCUGCAACUGUGCUUCUUCAGACCUGGUCACAGAACCUCC
This 2674-nucleotide long non-coding RNA is filed under the name Marmota monax (woodchuck). Lineage: Eukaryota; Metazoa; Chordata; Mammalia; Rodentia; Sciuridae. The record is from RNAcentral.